RNAcentral lists this ribosomal RNA (484 nucleotides) under uncultured bacterium. RNAcentral's name for it is "partial 16S ribosomal RNA". It matches the Rfam family "Bacterial small subunit ribosomal RNA", at positions 30 to 507 of the family's 1533-position model. The record is from RNAcentral.
AUUGAACGCUGGCGGCAGGCCUAACACAUGCAAGUCGAGCGGAUGAAGGGAGCUUGCUCCUGGAUUCAGCGGCGAACGGGUGAGUAAUGCCUAGGAAUCUGCCUGGUAGUGGGGGAUAACGUCCGGAAACGGGCGCUAAUACCGCAUACGUCCUGAGGGAGAAAGUGGGGGAUCUUCGGACCUCACGCUAUCAGAUGAGCCUAGGUCGGAUUAGCUAGUUGGUGGGGUAAAGGCCUACCAAGGCGACGAUCCGUAACUGGUCUGAGAGGAUGAUCAGUCACACUGGAACUGAGCCACGGUCCAGACUCCUACGGGAGGCAGCAGUGGGGAAUAUUGGACAAUGGGCGAAAGCCUGAUCCAGCCAUGCCGCGUGUGUGAAGAAGGUCUUCGGAUUGUAAAGCACUUUAAGUUGGGAGGAAGGGCAGUAAGUUAAUACCUUGCUGUUUUGACGUUACCAACAGAAUAAGCACCGGCUAACUUCGUG